RNAcentral lists this ribosomal RNA (206 nucleotides) under uncultured bacterium. RNAcentral describes it as "partial 16S ribosomal RNA". It matches the Rfam family "Bacterial small subunit ribosomal RNA", at positions 568 to 774 of the family's 1533-position model. The record is from RNAcentral.
CGCGUAGGCGGCUUGCCAAGUCACUUGUGAAAUCUCUGGGCUUAACCCAGAACGGCCAAGUGAAACUGGCAUGCUAGAGUGCAGAAGGGGCAAUCGGAAUUCUUGGUGUAGCGGUGAAAUGCGUAGAUAUCAAGAGGAACACCUGAGGUGAAGACGGGUUGCUGGGCUGACACUGACGCUGAGGCGCGAAAGCCAGGGAGCAAACG